GAUGAACGCUAGCGGCAGGCUUAAUACAUGCAAGUCGAGGGGCAGCGGGUGUAGCAAUACAUGCCGGCGACCGGCGCACGGGUGCGUAACGCGUAUGUAACCUACCUUUAACUGGAGGAUAGCCCCGAGAAAUCGGGAUUAAUACUCCAUAAAAUUAUGAGAAGGCAUCUUUUUAUAAUUAAAGCUCCGGCGGUUUUAGAUGGGCAUGCGUGACAUUAGCUAGUUGGUGAGGUAACGGCUCACCAAGGCUCCGAUGUCUAGGGGUUCUGAGAGGAUUUAACCCCCACACUGGUACUGAGACACGGACCAGACUCCUACGGGAGGCAGCAGUAAGGAAUAUUGGGCAAUGGACGCAAGUCUGACCCAGCCAUGCCGCGUGAAGGAUGACAGCCCUAUGGGUUGUAAACUUCUUUGUACGGGAAAAAACCUUCGAACGUGUUCGAAGCUGAUGGUACCGUAAGAUAAGCAUCGGCUAACUCCGUGCCAGCAGCCGCGGUAAU
Molecule: ribosomal RNA, 500 nt
Filed under: uncultured bacterium
Lineage: Bacteria
Description: bacterial SSU rRNA
Rfam family: Bacterial small subunit ribosomal RNA
Source: RNAcentral